CUGCGUGUUUUUGGUUUAGGAGUUAACUCCUUUUCCGGCGUACCUCUAAUUCUAAAUACAUUCUUGAAAAGACUGUAAUCAAGAGAAAGAAAGAAAAAUUUCCUUAAUUAAUGUAUCCAAAAACUUCACCGUCCUACUUUUUGGCCCUGAGAGCUCGUUCAAUCGCUAGAACAAAAUUCACGCUUCUCUUCGUGCCGAGAGUUGGCGCGCAACUGGCAAUAAUCGUCGAGUGGUGGGAGGUGAAGGAAGAAAAA
RNAcentral lists this long non-coding RNA (254 nucleotides) under Polistes fuscatus (common paper wasp). RNAcentral's name for it is "uncharacterized LOC122521692". The record is from RNAcentral. Lineage: Eukaryota; Metazoa; Arthropoda; Insecta; Hymenoptera; Vespidae.